Long non-coding RNA from Hippocampus zosterae (dwarf seahorse), 306 nucleotides. RefSeq lists it as uncharacterized. The transcript is spliced from 3 exons. The record is from RefSeq and is a predicted model, not a curated record. Lineage: Eukaryota; Metazoa; Chordata; Actinopteri; Syngnathiformes; Syngnathidae.
CCGAUUAUGGAGCAGAGACGCAAAUCAUCCGCCGUGUGGGACCAUUUUGAUGUCCUGGAGAAUAAGGUGAAAUGUCGAAUUUGCCAAGUCGAAUUGUCAUACACCAACAGAAGCACCUCCACCAUGCUGAGGCAUUAUCGGGCCAAGCAUGAGAAUGAAGUUCGCGAUACACCCAGUAUUACGCCAGGUUCCAGGAAGCAGCUGUACUGGAAGGACCAACACACUUCUUUCCCAAACCUCUCCCACCUCGCAAAGGAGUUCCUUUGUACGCCAGCCUCAUCCGUCCCUUGUGAGCGUGUGUUCUCC